UUACCAAAGUGCCUCCCACAGUUGUCCAUGAAAACAAUGAUUCAUCUUGGCGUGUUGCUGAAAUCUGAGCAGAAAACCUCAGGGUAAAUAAGGGUCAGAUCUGACAAAUGACAAAAUUCUGACUUCCCAGC
Molecule: non-coding RNA, 131 nt
Organism: Rattus norvegicus (Norway rat)
Lineage: Eukaryota; Metazoa; Chordata; Mammalia; Rodentia; Muridae
Source: Rfam